AACGAACGCUGGCGGCAUGCCUAACACAUGCAAGUCGAACGAGACCUUCGGGUCUGGUGGCGCACUGGUGCGUAACGCGUUGGAACCUGCCCUUGGAUUCGGAUUAACGCCCCGAAAGGGGUGCGAAUACGGGAUAUUGUCUUCGGUCCAAAGAUUUAUGGCCUUUGGAUGGGCUCGCGUUGUAUUAGCUUGAUGUUAGGGUAAAACCCUACCAAGGCGACGAGCCAUAGCUGGUCAGAGAGGAUGAUCACCCACACUGGGACUGAGAAACGGCCCAGAAUACUACGGGAGGCAGCAGUGGGGAAUAUUGCAAAACGGCGGAAGGCAUGAUGCAGCACUGACGCGUGAGUGAUGAAGGCCUUAGGGUAGUAAAGCAAUUUUACCCGGGAUGAUAAUGACAGUACCGGGAGAAUAAGCUCCGGCUAACUCCGUG
Molecule: ribosomal RNA, 433 nt
Filed under: uncultured bacterium
Lineage: Bacteria
Description: partial 16S ribosomal RNA
Rfam family: Bacterial small subunit ribosomal RNA
Source: RNAcentral